Molecule: ribosomal RNA, 619 nt
Filed under: uncultured bacterium
Lineage: Bacteria
Description: bacterial SSU rRNA
Rfam family: Bacterial small subunit ribosomal RNA
Source: RNAcentral
UGCAGUCGUACGAGAAAGUUGGCUUCGGCCAAUGAGUAAAGUGGCGCACGGGUGAGUAACGCGUGGAUAAUCUACCUCCCAGCGGGGAAUAACCCAUCGAAAGGUGGGCUAAUACCUCAUAACACUAUCUUUACCUCGGUGGGAUAGUCAAAGACGGCCUCUGCUUGCAAGCUGUCACUGGAAGAUGAGUCCGCGUACCAUUAGCUAGUUGGUAGGGUAACGGCCUACCAAGGCUGCGAUGGUUAGCUGGUCUGAGAGGAUGAUCAGCCACACUGGAACUAAGACACGGUCCAGACUCCUACGGGAGGCAGCAGUGAGGAAUCUUGCGCAAUGGGGGCAACCCUGACGCAGCAACGCCGCGUGAGUGAGGAAGGUCUUCGGAUCGUAAAGCUCUGUCGGGUGGGAAGAAACGUAUGGAAGCUAAUACCCUUCAUACUUGACGGUACCACCAAAGGAAGCACCGGCUAACUCCGUGCCAGCAGCCGCGGUAAUACGGGGGGUGCAAGCGUUGUUCGGAAUCAUUGGGCGUAAAGGGCGUGUAGGCGGCUUGGUAAGUCAGAUGUGAAAGCCCUGGGCUUAACCCAGGAAGUGCAUUUGAAACUGUCAGGCUUGAGUAGGG